UACAGAGGGUGCGAGCGUUAAUCGGAAUUACUGGGCGUAAAGCGUGCGUAGGCGGUUGGUUAAGUCUGUCGUGAAAGCCCUGGGCUCAACCUGGGAAUGGCGAUGGAAACUGGCCAGCUAGAGUGUGAUAGAGGAUGGCGGAAUUCCCGGUGUAGCGGUGAAAUGCGUAGAGAUCGGGAGGAACAUCCGUGGCGAAGGCGGCCAUCUGGAUCAACACUGACGCUGAGGCACGAAAGCGUGGGGAGCAAACAGG
This 253-nucleotide ribosomal RNA is filed under the name uncultured bacterium. RNAcentral describes it as "partial 16S ribosomal RNA". It matches the Rfam family "Bacterial small subunit ribosomal RNA", at positions 524 to 776 of the family's 1533-position model. The record is from RNAcentral.